Molecule: ribosomal RNA, 468 nt
Filed under: uncultured bacterium
Lineage: Bacteria
Description: partial 16S ribosomal RNA
Rfam family: Bacterial small subunit ribosomal RNA
Source: RNAcentral
GACGAACGCUGGCGGCGCGCCUAACACAUGCAAGUCGAACGGAGCUGAGAGAAGCUUGCUUUUCUUAGCUUAGUGGCGAACGGGUGAGUAACGCGUGAGUAACCUGCCCUGGAGUGGGGGACAACAGUUGGAAACGACUGCUAAUACCGCAUAAGCCCACGAUCCGGCAUCGGAUUGAGGGAAAAGGAUUUAUUCGCUUCAGGAUGGACUCGCGUCCAAUUAGCUAGUUGGUGAGGUAACGGCCCACCAAGGCGACGAUUGGUAGCCGGACUGAGAGGUUGAACGUCCACAUUGGGACUGAGACACGGCCCAGACUCCUACGGGAAGCAGCAGUGGGGGAUAUUGCACAAUGGGGGAAACCCUGAUGCAGCGACGCCGCGUGGAGGAAGAAGGUUUUCGGAUUGUAAACUCCUGUCGUUAGGGACGAUAAUGACGGUACCUAACAAGAAAGCACCGGCUAACUACGUG